AAUAGAUACCCCAGGUAGUCCACGCCCUAAACGAUGUCAACUAGCUGUUGGGGCCUUCGGGCCUUGGUAGCGCAGCUAACGCGUGAAGUUGACCGCCUGGGGAGUACGGUCGCAAGAUUAAAACUCAAAGGAAUUGACGGGGACCCGCACAAGCGGUGGAUGAUGUGGAUUAAUUCGAUGCAACGCGAAAAACCUUACCUACCCUUGACAUGUCUGGAAUGCCGAAGAGAUUUGGCAGUGCUCGCAAGAGAACCGGAACACAGGUGCUGCAUGGCUGUCGUCAGCUCGUGUCGUGAGAUGUUGGGUUAAGUCCCGCAACGAGCGCAACCCUUGUCAUUAGUUGCUACGAAAGGGCACUCUAAUGAGACUGCCGGUGACAAACCGGAGGAAGUGGGGAUGACGUCAAGUCCUCAUGGCCCUUAUGGGUAGGGCUUCACACGUCAUACAAUGGUCGGGACAGAGGGUUCGCCAACCCGGCGAGGGGGGAGCCAAUCCCAGAAACCCGNUCGUAGUCCGGAUCGCAGUCUGCAA
This 531-nucleotide ribosomal RNA is filed under the name uncultured bacterium. Its description in RNAcentral is "bacterial SSU rRNA". It matches the Rfam family "Bacterial small subunit ribosomal RNA", at positions 777 to 1310 of the family's 1533-position model. The record is from RNAcentral.